GGAGGGUGUAUUUCUCAGACAGACUGUACGCUGAGGAUGAGCUCCCAGCAGAGUUUAAACUCUACCUGCCUGUCCAGAACCAGAAGGCCAAACAGUAGAUCCUGUCAGCCUGCACUGUUCCCCCCUGACGUGAUGUGGAUGUUGGACUUUCUCUGUGUAGACGUGUGGUGGACUUUGAAACAUUGGGAUAUUGUAAUUUUGGAGCCAUGAGUUUUGAGUACAGUCUUGUGUUGCUUUCUGCACAAUAAAACUUUUUUUAUGGA
Long non-coding RNA from Stegastes partitus (bicolor damselfish), 263 nucleotides. RefSeq lists it as uncharacterized. Lineage: Eukaryota; Metazoa; Chordata; Actinopteri; Pomacentridae. The transcript is spliced from 2 exons. The record is from RefSeq and is a predicted model, not a curated record.